GAUGAACGCUAGCUACAGGCUUAACACAUGCAAGUCGAGGGGAAACGACAUCGAAAGCUUGCUUUUGAUGGGCGUCGACCGGCGCACGGGUGAGUAACGCGUAUCCAACCUGCCCAUCACUUGGGAAUAACCUUGCGAAAGUAAGACUAAUACCCAAUGACAUCCCACGAAGACAUCUGAAUGGGAUUAAAGAUUUAUCGGUGAUGGAUGGGGAUGCGUCUGAUUAGCUUGUUGGCGGGGUAACGGCCCACCAAGGUAACGAUCAGUAGGGGUUCUGAGAGGAAGGUCCCCCACAUUGGAACUGAGACAAGGUCCAAACUCCUACGGGAGGCAGCAGUGAGGAAUAUUUGUAAAUGGGCGAGAGCCUGAACCAGCCAAGUAGCGUGCAGGAUGACCGCCCUAUGGGUUGUAAACUGCUUUUAUAAGGGAAUAAAGUGGGUAUCGUGAGACUUUUUGCAUGUACCUGAUGAAUAAGGACCGGCUAAUUCCGUG
Molecule: ribosomal RNA, 492 nt
Filed under: uncultured bacterium
Lineage: Bacteria
Description: partial 16S ribosomal RNA
Rfam family: Bacterial small subunit ribosomal RNA
Source: RNAcentral